AACACCAAGAACCAGCUAAGCCAGCUGUCCAGGCACCCUGGUCCACUGCAGAAAAGGUCCACUUACCAUUUCUGCACAGGAAAAUGUAAAAGUGGUGUAUUACCGGGCACUGUACCCCUUUGAAUCCAGAAGCCAUGAUGAAAUCACUAUCCAGCCAGGAGACAUAGUCAUGUGGAUGAAAGCCAAACUGGAGAACCCGGCUGGCUUGGAGGAGAAUUAAAAGGAAAGACAGGGUGGUUCCCUGCAAACUAUGCAGAGAAAAUCCCAGAAAAUGAGGUUCCCGCUCCAGUGAAACCAGUGACU
RNAcentral lists this long non-coding RNA (303 nucleotides) under Homo sapiens (human). RNAcentral's name for it is "HSALNT0272964". Lineage: Eukaryota; Metazoa; Chordata; Mammalia; Primates; Hominidae. The record is from RNAcentral.